RNAcentral lists this unclassified non-coding RNA (253 nucleotides) under uncultured Cryomorphaceae bacterium. RNAcentral's name for it is "contains 16S-23S intergenic spacer region". It matches the Rfam family "Bacterial small subunit ribosomal RNA", at positions 524 to 776 of the family's 1533-position model. Lineage: Bacteria; Pseudomonadati; Bacteroidota; Flavobacteriia; Flavobacteriales; Cryomorphaceae. The record is from RNAcentral.
UACGGAGGAUCCAAGCGUUAUCCGGAUCCAGUGGGUUUAAAGGGUCCGCAGGCGGGGUAUUAAGUCAGUGGUGAAAUCGUACGGCUCAACCGUGCAACUGCCAUUGAUACUGGUACUCUUGAGUAUAGUUGAGGUGGGCGGAAUAUGUCAUGUAGCGGUGAAAUGCAUAGAUAUGACAUAGAACACCUAUUGCGAAGGCAGCUCACUAAACUAUUACUGACUCUAAGGGACGAAAGCGUGGGAAGCGAACAGG